This 90-nucleotide transfer RNA is filed under the name Streptomyces chrestomyceticus JCM 4735. Its description in RNAcentral is "tRNA-Arg". Lineage: Bacteria; Bacillati; Actinomycetota; Actinomycetes; Kitasatosporales; Streptomycetaceae. The record is from RNAcentral.
GCGCCUCCUGGACGGGCUUGGCCUGCUCCGCCUUCGGGGCGGGCGCCUGCUCGGCCGCGGGCUGCUGCUCGGGCUCGGCGGCGGCGCCCC